RNAcentral lists this ribosomal RNA (464 nucleotides) under Vreelandella stevensii. RNAcentral describes it as "partial 16S ribosomal RNA". It matches the Rfam family "Bacterial small subunit ribosomal RNA", at positions 339 to 795 of the family's 1533-position model. Lineage: Bacteria; Pseudomonadati; Pseudomonadota; Gammaproteobacteria; Oceanospirillales; Halomonadaceae. The record is from RNAcentral.
CCUCGGGCGGCUGCAGUGGGGAAUAUUGGACAAUGGGCGAAAGCCUGAUCCAGCCAUGCCGCGUGUGUGAAGACGGCCUUCGGGUUGUAAAGCACUUUCAGUGGGGAAGAAAGCCUUGGGGCUAAUACCCUCGAGGAAGGACAUCACCCACAGAAGAAGCACCGGCUAACUCCGUGCCAGCAGCCGCGGUAAUACGGAGGGUGCGAGCGUUAAUCGGAAUUACUGGGCGUAAAGCGCGCGUAGGCGGUCUGAUAAGCCGGUUGUGAAAGCCCCGGGCUCAACCUGGGAACGGCAUCCGGAACUGUCAGGCUAGAGUGCAGGAGAGGAAGGUAGAAUUCCCGGUGUAGCGGUGAAAUGCGUAGAGAUCGGGAGGAAUACCAGUGGCGAAGGCGGCCUUCUGGACUGACACUGACGCUGAGGUGCGAAAGCGUGGGUAGCAAACAGGAUUAGAUACCCUAGUAGUC